RNAcentral lists this ribosomal RNA (1411 nucleotides) under metagenome. RNAcentral's name for it is "bacterial SSU rRNA". It matches the Rfam family "Bacterial small subunit ribosomal RNA". The record is from RNAcentral.
UCGUAGAUUGAACGCUGGCGGCAGGCCUAACACAUGCAAGUCGAGCGGAUGAAGGGAGCUUGCUCCUGGAUUCAGCGGCGGACGGUGAGUAAUGCCUAGAAUCUGCCUGGUAGUGGGGAUAACGUCCAAACGGGCGCACCGAUACCGCAUACGUCCUGAGAAAGUGGGGAUCUUCGGACCUCACGCCAUCAGAUGAGCCUAGGUCGGAUUAGUUGGGGUAAAGGCCUACCAAGGCGAUCCGUAACUGGUCUGAGGAUGAUCAGUCACACUGGAACUGAGACACAGACUCCACCGGAGCAGUGGGGAAUAUUGGUAAGAAAGCCUGAUCCAGCCAUGCCGCGUGAAGAAGGUCUUCGGAUUGUAAAGCACUUUAAGUUGGGAGGAAGGCAGCAAGUUAAUACCUUGCUGUUUUGACGUUCAACAGAAUAAGCACCGGCUAACUUCGUGCCAGCAGCCGCGGUGGUACGAAGCAAGCGUUAAUCGGAAUUACUGGGCGUAAAGCGCGCUAGGUGGUUCAGCAAGUUGGAUGUGAAAUCCCGGGCUCAACCUGGGAACCUAAUCCAAAACUACUGAGCUAGAGUACGGUAGAGGUGAAUUUCGUGUAGCGGUGAAAUGCGUAGAUAUAGGAAGGAACACCAGUGGCGAAGGCGACCACCUGGACUGAUACUGACACCGAGGUGCGAAAGCGGGAGAACAGGAUUAGAUACCCUGGUAGUCCACGCCGUAAACGAUGUCGACCGCCGUUGGAUCCUUGAGAUCAUAGUGGCGCAGCUAACGCGAUAAGUCGACCGCCUGAGUACGGCCGCAAGGUUAAAACUCAAAUGAAUUGACGGGGCCGCGGUGCACAAGCGGUGGGUUUAAUUCGAAGCAACGCGAAGAACCUUACCUGGCCUUGACAUGCUGAGAACUUUCCAGAGAUGGAUUGGUGCCUUCGGGAACUCAGACACAGGUGCUGCAUGGCUGUCGUCAGCUCGUGUCGUGAGAUGUUGGGUUAAGUCCGUAACGAGCGCAACCCUUGUCCUAGUUACCAGCACCUCGGUGGGCACCUAAGGAGACUGCCGGUGACAAACCGGAGGAAGGUGGGGAUGACGUCAGUCAUCAUGGCCACGCCAGGGCCACACGAGCGCAAUGGUCGGUACAAAGGUUGCCAAGCCGCGAGGUGGAGCUAAUCCCAUAAACCGAUCGUAGUCCGGAUCGCAGUCUGCAACUCGACCUGCGGAAGUCGGAAUCGCAAUCGUGAAUCAGAAUGUCACGGUGAAUACGUUCCCGGGCCUUGUACACACCGCCCGUCACACCAUGGAGUGGGUUGCUCGAAGUAGCUAGUCUAACCGCAGGGGGACGGCUACCACGGAGCGAUUCAUGACUGUGUAGAAUUAGUCGAACAAGUGGUAGCCGUAGAAGUCUGCGGCUG